Molecule: ribosomal RNA, 468 nt
Filed under: uncultured bacterium
Lineage: Bacteria
Description: partial 16S ribosomal RNA
Rfam family: Bacterial small subunit ribosomal RNA
Source: RNAcentral
GACGAACGCUGGCGGCGUGCUUAACACAUGCAAGUCGAACGGAAAGGCCCUGCUUUUUUGGGGUUCUCGAGUGGCGCACGGGUGAGUAACACGUGAGUCUCCUUCCCUUUCCUUUGGGAUAACUUCAAUCAGCUGGGGCUAAUACCUGCUUCGAGCUCCUGCUGCUUGGUGGGUUUUGGAACGUUUCGGCGGUUGGGGAUGGACUGGCGGCUUAUUAGCUUGUUGGUUGGGUAGUGGCUUACCAAGGCUUUGGCGGGUAGGCGGCCAGAGAGGGUGACCGGCGACAUGGGGACUGAGAGAGGGACCAGAGUGGUAAGGGAGGCAGCAGGGGGGAAGAUGGUACAAUGGGCGGAAGUAUGAUGCAGAAACGCUGCGAGAGGGAUGACGGACUGCGGGUGGGAAACCGCAUUCGGCUGAGACGAAGCGUGAGUGACGUUACCGGGUAAAGAAGCACCGGCUAACUACGUG